UAUGAUGUUUUGAUUGGUGUUGAUGAGUUU
RNAcentral lists this non-coding RNA (30 nucleotides) under Rattus norvegicus (Norway rat). Lineage: Eukaryota; Metazoa; Chordata; Mammalia; Rodentia; Muridae. The record is from RNAcentral.